AGUUGUUAUACUAACAAUUGACAAACUUUUAACUUAAUUCAAGAACCCCAUUUUCUUUAUUUCAUUCUCCUCUCCACUUACUAAAAAAGAAGGAAGUGUGGAGAUUGCAAGAGUUUAUGAAGGUUCUAAUAUGAAUAGCUUUAUACUUCCAAAUGAAAGUUUUCCCCUACCUUCUAAGGUUCUUGAUUCUCUCUGGAUUUCUGAUGAUAGGCUAUAAUUACGUAUUUUAGUCGAUUAUUACACUCUAAUUUACUGCACUUUAGUUGAGUUUGCGCUUGAAUCGCUAGUGUUUUGCACUAACGGUGUGUUUUAUGCCUUGUAGGAGUGAUUCCGAGCUAUAUAGAUGUUAUGGAAUGAAUUUAAGUGGUUUGGAACUUUGAAGUCUGAAUAAGAGCUCAAGGAAUUAAGCCGGGAUCGCGUUCGGGGAUCAACGGAUGAUAAAACAACAAAACGAAAACUCGAAGAGGCAUAUUGCGCACUGUCUAGUAAAAUAGACAUAACGUUUUGCUCAGAACUCCAUUUGGGUUCCAUAAUAUAUGGUUGGAAAGAUAACUCAAAUAGCUACAACUUUUAUGUUUUACGUUUGUCCAAAUUCCAAACGGAACAGGAUGAAAAACCGCGGUUUCACCGCGACCGCGGCAGAACCGCGGCAGAGUGCAGACGCAGACAAUUGAAGAAUCAGAGGCCAUGUUUGGCCGCGGUUUGACCGCGACCGCGGUAGAACCGUGGCAGGAGGCGGAAAUUUCAGGGACUAAAGUGCAAAACACGAGAUUUUUAUCCCAAAACCCUAUAUUAAACCAAGGAAGCCGGCAAAGAAAAAAAUUGGACAUAUUUUUGACAUAGAUUUGACCUAAGGAGGAGAGACACAAUAGGAGCAAGGCUUGGGAAUU
RNAcentral lists this long non-coding RNA (890 nucleotides) under Nicotiana tabacum (common tobacco). RNAcentral describes it as "long non-coding RNA (NTAB_LNC004660)". The record is from RNAcentral. Lineage: Eukaryota; Viridiplantae; Streptophyta; Magnoliopsida; Solanales; Solanaceae.